This 400-nucleotide unclassified non-coding RNA is filed under the name uncultured fungus. Its description in RNAcentral is "sequence contains ITS1". The stretch from base 1 to 102 matches the Rfam family "5.8S ribosomal RNA", at positions 50 to 154 of the family's 154-position model. Lineage: Eukaryota; Fungi. The record is from RNAcentral.
GAAAUGCGAUACGUCAUGCGAAUUGCAGAAACUUGUGAGUCAUCAAAAUUUUGAACGCAACUUGCACUUCCCUUUUCGGGGAGUAUGUCUGUUGGAGUGUCUGUUCAUCCCCACUUCUCCCAUAACUUGUUUGUGGAAUCGAGAAAGCGCCGGCCGCUUGUCAUACGUCCAAUCUUUGGGCGACGGGCAAGUGAGUCUAGAUGACACACCCGAUCAACGAACUCGCCCCUGCUUCAGGCAUCAAAGAUUUCGGUCUUUUGAUGUUUUUAGCUCGGUCGACGCGACGUGAAAGCUCUUGUAGCUCCCAUAACGCGUCUUCAUACCAAACGAGCUUUGUGAGCCUCGGCAAUCAAAGAGUUCAUCCGACCGGACCUCCAAUCAGGCAAGAUUACCCGCUGAA